UCUCCGUAGGUGAACCUGCGGAGGGAUCAUUACAGAGUUCUUGCCCUUCGGGGUAGAUCUCCCACCCGUGUGUUUUAUACCUUUGUUGCUUUGGCAGGCCCGCCCCGGCCACUGGCUCCAGCUAGUGAGUGCCUUCCAGAGGACUCCCAACUCUGAAUUAAUUGUCGUCUGAGUACUAUAUAAUAGUUAAAACUUUCAACAACGGAUCUCUUGGUUCUGGCAUCGAUGAAGAACGCAGC
This 239-nucleotide unclassified non-coding RNA is filed under the name uncultured fungus. RNAcentral's name for it is "sequence contains ITS1, 5.8S rRNA gene". The stretch from base 191 to 239 matches the Rfam family "5.8S ribosomal RNA", at positions 1 to 49 of the family's 154-position model. The record is from RNAcentral. Lineage: Eukaryota; Fungi.